This 892-nucleotide long non-coding RNA is filed under the name Gallus gallus (chicken). RNAcentral's name for it is "lncRNA (ENSGALG00010024384.1)". Lineage: Eukaryota; Metazoa; Chordata; Aves; Galliformes; Phasianidae. The record is from RNAcentral.
CACAGACCGAUGCUUCAAUAUUCUGUCACCUUUACUUGGAAAAUAAGGUCAUGUUAUAUAGCAUUCAUUACUUAAUAUUUUAUACAAUUAAAAUAUUUAGCUAAGUAACAGUGUGUUGAGUGGGUGUGUUUGUGUAUGCGUGGGUAUAAAUAAGUAUAAGUAAACAAGUAUUAAUGGUGCAAUAGCACUGAAUAAUUUAUCCAGGCCAAAUGAAUUAUUUUCAGCCUUUUGCUGUUGAACAUUUCAAACUGAAUUCCACAAGUUCAUUUACAAUAUUCUUUUUUAAUAGGCAUAUUGCAGUAAUAGUAUUCACAGUGUUUUGGGGUAUCAUAGCUAAAUUAAGGAUUUGUUGGCUGGAGAGCCCAUUUUUCCCACUUAGAUCAGCUGGUCAGUUGAAAGAUCCUACUUCUGUCUGCAAAAGCCAUGUUUUUUCUAAUUGAUUAAUUUAGUUUGUAUAGGUCUUCAUUUCUGAUGAAUGUGGCACGAAUGUUUAAAAGCAAAUUAAUACAGAGCCUGGAGGAUCAGUGAAUACCAAUCAACCCCUGAAGUCUCACAGUGAGACCAAGUGGAAAAGAGAGGAUGGACUGAUCAGAGAUAAAGUGACGUGCAGAAAUCCUUUUGUGGUACAGUGGGGCCAACAGCAGAACCAAGGAAUGUGGGGAAAACUGCCUCUGCAACAAGAACAUCAGAUCUUUUCUCUCCUCACUGAACAUCCUGCGUUCUCCCCUCAGGACUCAAGAAAAGCUCAGUGGAGAAGGGCAGGAGACCAAAACCAGACCCCACACAGAUGGGAAAGAAGAAAGAGCAUCUGAAAAUCUCUGGAAACUAUGUACAAUCUACGUACAAUAAGAUUUAUGCCCUGAAGCUUAAAAUAAGGGAUAAGACUUUUAAU